ACUGCUGCGCUGCUGCUCGGUCAGCCAGCGUCUGGGAUGGGAGCGCUCCUGCAUUUUACAUGACUGCGGGGCCUGUUCCUUGCGCCUGUCUGGUCGCGUCACAUCAUGGAGGGUUUCUCGGGGCGGCCGGCCGCCUCUGAGCACAGCCAGGGUGGUGUUUGCAGCACAGCUGCUGCCUAGGCCUCGCUGCGGAGGUGCUGGGCCACGGCCCCGUGGAGGCAGAGCCGCAGGGCCAUCGACAUGUCCUUUGAAAACGGGCAUUUCCCCAACUCAUGCAGGUGGAGGGGAGAGCGAAGCCAAAUGGGACACCGGCCCCCACACACUGCCCCGGCUCCUGCAUUUCCGGAGAUGGAAACCUGGAGAGCAGCUGGGAUCUUGAAAACGUGGGUUGGACUGCGUCACCCCGACCCCUGCCUCAAAGCCCCUCCGUGGUUGCCUACAGCACAGCUUGAAGCCCCUUGGUUCUGCUUCCCGGGCCUGCAGCGCUGGCCCCAGCCUGGCCGAGCGAGCAUUUGUUCACCCAAGACCUUUCCCCUCCUGCCCUCGUGGAGCCUCCACAAGGAGUAAACAACCACUUCUGGUCCCUCAAAGCAUCAACUCUGUGCCUUGCAGACAGCGGACACGUAACACAGCCACGCGGCGUGAACAUGAGCAGACUUCUUUUUUCCAGGAUGUGCACGGUUUCCACGACAAUGCCCACUGCACGCCUUAUGGCCUCACCAGAGACGUAAAGCAGAUGCCAAGAAACUUCCCCCCAAAAUGGGCUGGCUUGCCAAGCCCAGGACCGCCUGUCCAGCUGGGGCUGGGGGCAAGGAUCCCAUUUUCUGUGACUCUCUUUGCUCUGAUGGUCAGGUUCACCGGCCGUACGUGUAAUCUGAAGCAUUCGGUAGCGAUCUAAUUAAAUGUUAACACAUCAUUAAAGUGAUUUGCGAUAAGC
Molecule: long non-coding RNA, 937 nt
Filed under: Homo sapiens (human)
Lineage: Eukaryota; Metazoa; Chordata; Mammalia; Primates; Hominidae
Description: HSALNT0318150
Source: RNAcentral